UCUCUUGCUGGCGGAGAUAGGCGGGGCUAUAAAUGUCAACGCGAAAAUAUAUGCAGUUUGACAUUUAUGUACCCGACAUGUUUCUGAGCGAGAACAAAGGGAACACCAGCGACAUUCGUCCUCUAUAGUUUUCUAUCUCUAUUAAUUAUCCUGAUAUUCAUGACAGUUUUCUCCGGCCAGCUCAGUGUUUACCAUUUCUGGAGCUCGAUUUGAAAAGGUCGUAAGUAACAAAAGUAAAUAAAUCAUGCUAAUUUCACCAUUAGGUAGAUUCUACUCAGCUUAAUAUGUGGUUAAAAUAUCAUUUCGAUAUGAUAUUUCUUCAAAAAUAAAUUAAAAGUUAACACUUCGACGUAAUUAACGAAAACUAGAAACAGUGCAAAUUUGUUCAUUCGUCCUAUUGCGCAUAAGGUCGAAAGUAGCAAAAAUGACUAAACCCGAAAAAUCGUGUAUUCGACCUUUUGUCGACAAAGGUCCCAUGAGCGACAGCUGUCAAAAUAAAUGGAAAAGUUUAUACGACGCACCUGUAAUAUUGAUUCUGCCUCGUUUAACAGUUUUUUUGCACCAUGUUAAUCCACCCAUUCAUUGCUUGAUGCUGCGAUUCUCCGAAAACAAACCGUUUGGUUUGCCUAUGGAAAGACCUCAACUGAAGACCCGCCAGAUCGCAGCUUUGUUAUCUCUUCACUUGAUGGUUCCAGUGGAGAAACAGCAUCGGGAUCGAUUCCAUGGAUGAGAAUGAGCAUCCAUUCGCCAUCCAACCUUCAAGCGAAUCAGUGUAUUCCAUGGCAAAAUCGGUCCGCACCGGCUUGGCACCUGGAAACAUCAAUGGAUCAUUCUUCCCAUGCCAAUCAAUCCCUUCGUCUUUCCUGACACGUCUUCAUUCGUUGAAUCACCAGCUUCGUCAGACGAUAGCCCAGGCCUUGAAACCGAGUCCAUAAAAACGAGUUAUGGAGAGUUGACUGUUGUACUAAAUUCGGUUUUUGUUUACUAACUACUAAACAGCUCGAAGAUUUAUUAUCAAAAACUAUUUUUUGAAAUGUGUUAACUUAUUUCUA
RNAcentral lists this long non-coding RNA (1052 nucleotides) under Aedes aegypti (yellow fever mosquito). RNAcentral describes it as "lncRNA AAEL022807". The record is from RNAcentral. Lineage: Eukaryota; Metazoa; Arthropoda; Insecta; Diptera; Culicidae.